AGAUUUGUUCCUAUUUUCCCCUAUAUUAUAGUCACCCUAUUGUUUUUUUUUCUUUUUACAUUUCUUCAUUUUUUUUUCUUUUCUCCAUCUAUUUUUCCUUAACAAGUCAUGUAAAGGGAGAGAGAUUUGAGUGAGUUCUCACCAUUUUUUUCAUCCUCCAAAUCUCAAAGAAGUUAAAGAGGGUGGUGAAUCUUCUAAAGCUAAGGGUAAAGGCAUAGUGCUGGAGAGCUAGGCAAGAAACUUUGUUGGUGUUCUUCCAUCAAGAUUUGUAGACUUUUGUUCGUGUCCGAGGAACAUCAUCGACAAGUGACUCCUACCGUCAUGUAUUCAGAGUAUAGUACCUUAUCUAUUAGUGGACAUUGUAUUCCUAAGGCCUUACUUGUAUUUUUUUUUGUAGGUCUGUAACUCAUUUAUCAUUUUUGUUAUUUUGACUAUUUUGAUAUACGAUGAUAUUGGAGCUCCACA
This is a long non-coding RNA of Gossypium raimondii (Peruvian cotton), 465 nucleotides long. RefSeq lists it as uncharacterized. The record is from RefSeq and is a predicted model, not a curated record. NCBI's taxonomy places the organism in Eukaryota, Viridiplantae, Streptophyta, Magnoliopsida, Malvales, Malvaceae. The transcript is spliced from 2 exons.